ACGCCGCGUGAGCGAAGAAGGUCUUCGGAUCGUAAAGCUCUUUUGUAAGGGGAAGAACAAGUGCAGUAGUAACUGGCUGCACCUUGACGGUACCUUACUAGAAAGCCACGGGUAAUUACG
Molecule: ribosomal RNA, 120 nt
Filed under: Ureibacillus thermosphaericus
Lineage: Bacteria; Bacillati; Bacillota; Bacilli; Caryophanales; Caryophanaceae
Description: partial 16S ribosomal RNA
Rfam family: Bacterial small subunit ribosomal RNA
Source: RNAcentral